RNAcentral lists this ribosomal RNA (266 nucleotides) under uncultured bacterium. RNAcentral's name for it is "partial 16S ribosomal RNA". It matches the Rfam family "Bacterial small subunit ribosomal RNA", at positions 57 to 305 of the family's 1533-position model. The record is from RNAcentral.
GCAAGUCGAGCGGUAACAGGAAUUAGCUUGCUAAUUCGCUGACGAGCGGCGGACGGGUGAGUAAUGCCUGGGAAUAUGCCUUGAUGUGGGGGAUAACUAUUGGAAACGAUAGCUAAUACCACAUAAUGUUUUUGUUUAUUUGAACAAGAACCAAAGAGGGGGAUCUUCGGACCUCUCGCGUCAAGAUUAGCCCAGGUGAGAUUAGCUAGUUGGUGGGGUAAGAGCUCACCAAGGCGACGAUCUCUAGCUGGUCUGAGAGGAUGAUC